This is a non-coding RNA of Pelobates cultripes (western spadefoot toad), 240 nucleotides long. The record is from the annotation of a GenBank genome assembly. NCBI's taxonomy places the organism in Eukaryota, Metazoa, Chordata, Amphibia, Anura, Pelobatidae.
CCCGAUAUUAAGCUGAUCCUUGCCAGGGAGCAUAGAGCCACAGUGACUCAUAAUUUCCAUAAUUUGGUUUAUAUAUCGCAAGAAAACUUUCCAAACGCUGCACACCAUAUAUGUACAUGCCCAGUCCAUGAGAUUUAACACUCUCCAAGCAGGACAGGCGAAAUGAUUUUGAAAAAAAAGAACUUGUGGAAGCUGAAACAUUUAAGAUGUACACCAAAUUGAAAUUGAAGCAGCAAAAAG